Molecule: ribosomal RNA, 253 nt
Filed under: uncultured bacterium
Lineage: Bacteria
Description: partial 16S ribosomal RNA
Rfam family: Bacterial small subunit ribosomal RNA
Source: RNAcentral
UACGUAGGGGGCAAGCGUUGUCCGGAAUCAUUGGGCGUAAAGCGCGUGUAGGCGGCUCCGUAAGUCCGUUGUGAAAGUCCAGGGCUCAACCCUGGAAUGCCGAUGGAUACUGCGGAGCUAGAGUCCGGAAGAGGCGAGUGGAAUUCCUGGUGUAGCGGUGAAAUGCGCAGAUAUCAGGAGGAACACCAAUGGCGAAGGCAGCUCGCUGGGACGGUACUGACGCUGAGACGCGAAAGCGUGGGGAGCAAACAGG